Molecule: ribosomal RNA, 1078 nt
Filed under: uncultured bacterium
Lineage: Bacteria
Description: partial 16S ribosomal RNA
Source: RNAcentral
CUAGUAACGGCCGCCAGUGUGCUGGAAUUCGCCCUUCGGUGUGUACAAGGCCCGGGAACGUAUUCACCGCGCCAUGGCUGAUGCGCGAUUACUAGCGAAUCCAGCUUCACGGAGUCGGGUUGCAGACUCCGAUCCGAACUGAGACGUGGUUUGGGGAUUCGCUCCCUGUCGCCAGGUGGCUUCCCUUUGUCCACGCCAUUGUAACACGUGUGUCGCCCCGGAUGUAAGGGCCGUGCUGAUUUGACGUCAUCCCCGCCUUCCUCGCAGCUUACGCUGGCAGUCCCACCAGAGUCCUCAGCAUCACCUGUUAGUAACUAGUGGCAAGGGUUGCGCUCGUUAUGGCACUUAAGCCGACACCUCACGGCACGAGCUGACGACAACCAUGCAGCACCUCGCAAACGGCUAUUGCUAGAAAAGGUGUUUCCACCUCGGUCCGAAUGCGUUCAAACCCGGGUAAGGUUCCUCGCGUAUCAUCGAAUUAAACCACAUGUUCCUCCGCUUGUGCGGGCCCCCGUCAAUUCCUUUGAGUUUCACCGUUGCCGGCGUACUCCCCAGGUGGAUCACUUAACGCUUUCGCUGUGCCGCUUACACUGUAUCGCAAACAGCUAGUGAUCAUCGUUUACUGCGUGGACUACCAGGGUAUCUAAUCCUGUUUGAUCCCCACGCUUUCGUGCAUCAGCGUCAGUCAUGGCUUGGCAGGCUGCCUUCGCAAUCGGGGUUCUGCGUGAUAUCUAAGCAUUUCACCGCUACACCACGCAUUCCGCCUGCCUCAAACAUACUCAAGCCCCCCAGUUUCAACGGCAAUUCUAUGGUUGAGCCACAGACUUUCACCGCUGACUUAAAAGGCCGCCUACGCACCCUUUAAACCCAAUAAAUCCGGAUAACGCUCGAAUCCUCCGUAUUACCGCGGCUGCUGGCACGGAGUUAGCCGAUCCUUAUUCAUAAGGUACAUACAAAACGGGACACGUCCCGCACUUUAUUCCCUUAUAAAAAGAGGUUUACGAUCCAUAGAACCUUCAUCCCUCACGCGACUUGGCUGGUUCAGGCUUACGCCCAUUGACCAAUAUUCCUCACUGCU